Peromyscus eremicus (cactus mouse) is the source of this 1565-nucleotide long non-coding RNA. RefSeq lists it as uncharacterized. Lineage: Eukaryota; Metazoa; Chordata; Mammalia; Rodentia; Cricetidae. The transcript has 5 exons. The record is from RefSeq and is a predicted model, not a curated record.
CCGGGUUGAGAACCAGUGCCCCGCACUCAAGGAGGUGGGCUUCGGAAGCGAGUGCCCGGAGUGGGGGGCUCAACCAGGAAACCCGGCGCUGGCCACCACACUUCCACCAGUGACUGCGCAGGCUGGGAAGUGGAGAGGUCACGUGUUGGCGGAAACUUUGGAUGUGAUGGGACUAGAUAUUUGAAGUUCCUGCUUUGAGUUCCCAAACCCAAUGAUGGACUGUAACCUGAAAUUAUAAGACAACAAUCCCAAAGGAAGUAAGCAGGAGAAAGAAACAGUUUAUUGCAGUGUCUCCUUGGAAACAUCUGACAGGGUGCAGGUUUUAUACCUGGAACUAAGGUGAAAUCCAAUCCCAAGGCCCCGUGUUCAUUAAAAAGGCCCACAGCAUUGCUUAGAAGUGUCAGAAGCUGGCUUGACUGAAUUCUAGCAGGGAUAAUUGCAUUCCAACUGCCUCAGGUUCCCUUGUAUUCGUCAAUUCAAUAAGGUGUUGUUCCUUUGUGAAGAAGGCCUGGUGUCCACCCUGGGCAGGAUGACUGGCCCUCAGCAGCACUGCUGACAGGUGACAGAUGACCCAUUGCUACAAGUCAGUAGAGGUAUUUUGCCAAAAGAAAAGAGGGAAAAACCCAUGAAAGGAGAAGAAGGCUGCUGAAUCCCAAGACUAACUGGUACUUACUUGGAAUGGAUGGUGGUGGACCUUCAGAGAACCUCCUCCUUUCAUUAUAUAAUGCUAACCCUUGAGUGCCUUGUGAUUUGGAAAAAAAAUUGAAAAAGAAAUAAAAAAGAGCAGAUAUCAUGGGAAUGGAGAGAAACCCGAUGCUAGGGAAGUGGCCAGGAAUUCCCAAGGAUGACCCCAGCUUGGACUACUAGAAAUAGUGGAGAGGGUGCCUGAACUGAACUGGCUUGCCCCAGUGGUCAGAUCAGUGAAUAACCUAACUGUCAUCACAGAGCUUUUCUCCAAUGGAGUCCAAUUGAAGAAAGAGAAGAGGGAUUCUAUGAACAAGUGCAUCAGGAUUGUGAUGGGGAAACCUGCAGAGAUGACCAAACCAAACUAGUGGGAACUCAUGAAAGUUGGAUCAAUGGCUGUGGAGCCUGCAUGGGACUGGACUAGGCCCUCCGCAUGGCAAGACAAUUGUGCAACUUGAUCUGCUUGGAGGUUCCCCUGGCGGUAGAAUCAGAAUCCAUCCCUGGUGCAUGAGAGUGCUUUUUGGAGCUCACUACUUAUGAUGGGACACCUUGUACAGCCUCGAGAAAGGCUUAGAUUUGCCUCUACUGGAUGUGCCUCCCCAUGGGAGACCUUACCUUCUUGUGUGGGGGAGUGACAGUGGGUUGGGGGGCGAGGCUGAGGAGGCUGGAGGGGGGAAGAGAUGCAUCUUUGAUUGGUGUGUAAAAUGAAUAAAAAAAAUUCUUAAUAAAGAAAGAGUUCAAAUAAAGUCAUCCUGUGUAAGUAGAAAAGAAGCACUUCCAGGGACCAUAAGGUUAUUGGGUGAAUAUUGCAAUUUUGUAACAACUCCUCCAGACUCAACAUUGUAGAAGAGAGAGUGGGAAUAAACUCUAAGACAGAGGAA